This 462-nucleotide ribosomal RNA is filed under the name Streptococcus cristatus. Its description in RNAcentral is "bacterial SSU rRNA". It matches the Rfam family "Bacterial small subunit ribosomal RNA", at positions 28 to 474 of the family's 1533-position model. Lineage: Bacteria; Bacillati; Bacillota; Bacilli; Lactobacillales; Streptococcaceae. The record is from RNAcentral.
GACGAACGCUGGCGGCGUGCCUAAUACAUGCAAGUAGAACGCUGAAGGAGGAGCUUGCUCUUCUGGAUGAGUUGCGAACGGGUGAGUAACGCGUAGGUAACCUGCCUGGUAGCGGGGGAUAACUAUUGGAAACGAUAGCUAAUACCGCAUAACAUUGACUAUUGCAUGAUAGUCAAUUGAAAGGUGCAAAUGCACCACUAUCAGAUGGACCUGCGUUGUAUUAGCUAGUUGGUGGGGUAACGGCUCACCAAGGCGACGAUACAUAGCCGACCUGAGAGGGCGAUCGGCCACACUGGGACUGAGACACGGCCCAGACUCCUACGGGAGGCAGCAGUAGGGAAUCUUCGGCAAUGGACGGAAGUCUGACCGAGCAACGCCGCGUGAGUGAAGAAGGUUUUCGGAUCGUAAAGCUCUGUUGUAAGAGAAGAACGAGUGUGAGAGUGGAAAGUUCACACUGUGACG